Long non-coding RNA from Trichoplusia ni (cabbage looper), 351 nucleotides. RefSeq lists it as uncharacterized. The record is from RefSeq and is a predicted model, not a curated record. The transcript is spliced from 2 exons. NCBI's taxonomy places the organism in Eukaryota, Metazoa, Arthropoda, Insecta, Lepidoptera, Noctuidae.
AGAUCUAUAUUUUUUUUUACUAUUUCAUCAGACUUCGAAAUGCAGUUGCGAUGCCCUAAAAGUGGGUUUCCUCGGUGUACGCAAGGUGUCUGACCACACAGUGCUUGUUAAGUGGAAUGUGCCGCGGAAACUCGACAAGGUUCAUGGAUAUGAGUUACUGGUAGAUGGGCGGGCAGUACAAAAAAUCCUCAGCCCGACCAAAUCCAUGGCCGUUGUGACGUGCUUACCGCAUACCGAUAAAGUGUUGUUAACUAUUCGUACCAUUACCUCCAGCGUGUUUGUAACAGGACACUAUCCCGCCACAACCAUUGUCUACCAACCCCGAGCUAAAUAAACAAUUUUAUGAACUUA